UUCACCCAGGAUCAGCCUAGAAGAGGCGGGUGGGGACACUCAGACAGUGGAGACCAGCAAGAACGCCAGAUCGUCCUCUAGUACCGAUCAGAGAGGAGGAGGAAGAGCAAAGGGGGAAGCACGGCGCAGUGCGGCAGGUAGGAGAGGAAGAAGUAGGAGAGGAAGAACUGGGCGCUGAAUCUAGCGUUCUUUCGUUCUCCACCGGCAGAACUUUCCCCACUGGCGAAAGUUUCCGCCAAGCCCAGGGCAGAUGAAGGAAUCCCAGGCUGACUGCCAACCAGGGGAGACCAACCCCCGGGCCUCUCACUUAAGCUGGCGGAAGACAUUGCUGCCAUCGGCACCUGCACAUGCUCUGUUGAAGAAAUCAGGCUUAUGAGUCUUGGGAAGGGAGGCCACAGAGUGAAGUGCCGUUGUCAUCUCAACGUGUAAAGGGUAUGUGCUAUCAACAUGACUUAUCAUUAUGGGUGACCAACCACCUUGGUCACCUGAGGCCUGGUGACCUGAGUCCUGGGAGCCCCACUGUGAAGUAAUUCUUCUCUCCCCUUUCCUGGAAUUUGGAAGGAAGUCACUAUGUCCCUCUGACAUUUAAGAAUAUACAAACACA
Microcebus murinus (gray mouse lemur) is the source of this 604-nucleotide non-coding RNA. The record is from RefSeq and is a predicted model, not a curated record. Lineage: Eukaryota; Metazoa; Chordata; Mammalia; Primates; Cheirogaleidae.